CAGCAGCCGCCGCGGGAAAACGUAGGUGGCAAGCGUUGUCCGGAAUUAUUGGGCGUAAAGGGCUCGCAGGCGGUUUCUUAAGUCUGAUGUGAAAGCCCCCGGCUCAACCGGGGAGGGUCAUUGGAAACUGGGAAACUUGAGUGCAGAAGAGGAGAAUGGAAUUCCACGUGUAGCGGUGAAAUGCGUAGAGAUGUGGAGGAACACCAGUGGCGAAGGCGACUCUCUGGUCUGUAACUGACGCUGAGGAGCGAAAGCGUGGGGAGCGAACAGGAUUAGAUACCCCAGUAGUCCCUGUCUCUUAUAA
This 304-nucleotide ribosomal RNA is filed under the name uncultured bacterium. Its description in RNAcentral is "partial 16S ribosomal RNA". It matches the Rfam family "Bacterial small subunit ribosomal RNA", at positions 506 to 809 of the family's 1533-position model. The record is from RNAcentral.